AUUUAUAUAGUUUAAAUAAAACAUUAUAUUUUCAUUAUAAAAAAAAGAAUUUUCUUUAUAAAUA
This 64-nucleotide transfer RNA is filed under the name Staphylinidae sp. BMNH 1274255. RNAcentral describes it as "tRNA-Glu". The record is from RNAcentral. Lineage: Eukaryota; Metazoa; Arthropoda; Insecta; Coleoptera; Staphylinidae.